This 253-nucleotide ribosomal RNA is filed under the name uncultured bacterium. Its description in RNAcentral is "partial 16S ribosomal RNA". It matches the Rfam family "Bacterial small subunit ribosomal RNA", at positions 524 to 776 of the family's 1533-position model. The record is from RNAcentral.
UACGUAGGUGGCAAGCGUUGUCCGGAUUUACUGGGCGUAAAGGGCGUGCAGGCGGUCUGUUAAGUGCAGGGUGAAAGCUCCCGGCUCAACUGGGAGAGGUCCUUGCAUACUGGCGGACUUGAGGGGGGUAGAGGAAAGCGGAAUUCCGGGUGUAGCGGUGAAAUGCGUAGAUAUCCGGAGGAACACCGGUGGCGAAGGCGGCUUCCUGGACCGACACUGACGCUGAGGCGCGAAAGCUAGGGGAGCAAACGGG